This 559-nucleotide ribosomal RNA is filed under the name uncultured bacterium. RNAcentral's name for it is "partial 16S ribosomal RNA". The record is from RNAcentral.
CCGUCAAUUCAUUUGAGUUUUAGUCUUGCGACCGUACUUCCCAGGCGGAGUACUUAAUGCGUUAGCUGCGGCACUGCAGGGGUCAAUACCCGCAACACCUAGUACUCAUCGUUUACGGCGUGGACUACCAGGGUAUCUAAUCCUGUUUGCUCCCCACGCUUUCGCGUCUCAGCGUCAAUAUCGGUCCAGGUAGCCGCCUUCGCCACCGGUGUUCCUCCUAAUAUCUACGGAUUUCACUCCUACACUAGGAAUUCCACUACCCUCUCCCGUAUUCAAGUCUGACAGUUUCCAAUGCACUUCCCAGGUUGAGCCCGGGGCUUUCACAUCAGACUUACCAAACCGCCUACACGCGCUUUACGCCCAAUAAUUCCGAACAACGCUCGCACCCUCCGUAUUACCGCGGCUGCUGGCACGGAGUUAGCCGGUGCUUCCUUUGAGGGUACCGUCAAGCAAAGAUGAUAUUAGCACCCCUGCAUUUCUUCCCCUCUGACAGAGCUUUACGACCCGAAGGCCUUCAUCACUCACGCGGCGUUGCUGCGUCAGGGUUCCCCCAUUGCGC